GCUCCCUGGGAUGUGUCCCAGCUGCUGCCAGGCAAAGCAGGCUCGGACUCCAAGCACGUCCAGCAAACUGGAAAGGGAGGAGUUUUCUGGGAACACAUUGGAACAUGAAGUCAUUUCAUCACAUCAGGUCUGCACUGUGUGGGAUCAGGCAUGGGAGCUGCAGGAGCGGAAAUUCUGUGUGAUAAAGAGCUGGUGAUGGACCCGCUUCUGCUGCUUGGCCAGGAGAGACUGGAUCUCUAUAAACAGGACCCCUGUCCCCAUCACCCUCCAGGAGAGACUGGGAAUUGCUGUAGGGCUCUGGCUGGAAGCCCCCAUGGCAGGAAGGUGCCUCCUGAGCACAGGGUGAGUUGUCACAUUGCCUGGGACAUUCUCCUGGGGACUCACCUGCUGUCCUGGCCAGGUGCACAGCAGCCUGUGAGGAGCCUGGGGGGAUAUGGGGUGAUCCACACUUCUUGUUCAGGACAAGGGCUUCUGCAAGGGGUGGACACGGCUCCUGGUGGUGGGUAGAGGGGGAUGUUUCCUUUAGAACCUGGGACACUUCCAAAGUUUCUUGUCGGGAUUUGCACCCACAGCAAGCAGCCAUGAAAUGGAGAAGGGGAACAGCACCAGUGCAGAGUUCCCCUGGCAGGAAUCUGCUCUGCUCUGAAAUCUGGCUGCAGGAGAUGGGCCUGGACAGUCACUGCCCUCACCAAGAUAACAAAGCAUGAGAAUGAGCCUGAACACUCCUGGCAGCUGUGAGUUCCCUUCCCCGCAGCACAUGGGGACAUCCCCAAACCCAGCCCCAGUUCCCUCUGCCUCGACCGAUGGAGCCCACCAGGGACACACUGCCCAAGCAUUUUAGCGUCUGUGUUUGCUCUUUCCGUUGCAGAGAGCCAAGGAGUGAAUACAUUGAUGUUGCGAGGGAUGCAGGGAAGGGCCCAUUGCUAGUAAUGUCCAGUCAUCUUGUUGUUAAAAUGUCUGUGAAAUGUUAGUGCUAAUCCAGGAUUUUCCAGAAGAAAAAUAAGUUAUUGAAAAGUGUUGAUUUUAAAAAAAAAUCCAAGAUUGAUUUUACAAUCCCAGGGUUAAAUUGAAUUUGUUGACAUUUUCACAGAAACUGAUUCAACCUUUGUGUUCUAAUUAUCUUAUUGAUUUACUUAUAAAUCAAUAUAAAUUGAAAAUAUAUAACAGUGUAAAUAUACAUGAAGAUAAAUGUCAGCACAAUGUUUUCUGUCUGAACAAACCUUCUAAAUUUUAGAGAACUCAGAAUACAAAGAAUUACCAAAGCCUUGUUUUCUUCACACAGCUUAAGCUUUUACAGAAGAGCAUUUGUCACUAACCAGUUGUAAGUAAGAAGAAUAAUACCCAUUGUGGUGGAUGAGCAUUGACAGGAGGGAGGCACACUGUCUGUUCUGUAACUGAUAAUGAGGAAAAUUUUAGAAAAACCCAUCUAUGUGUAUGACAAACUGAGUUGCAAAAAUGCUUCUAAAUUUUUCUCAAUUUUUGUUUCAGACUUUUUAAAAUUUACCUC
Molecule: long non-coding RNA, 1507 nt
Filed under: Serinus canaria (Common canary)
Lineage: Eukaryota; Metazoa; Chordata; Aves; Passeriformes; Fringillidae
Description: lncRNA (ENSSCAG00000016630.1)
Source: RNAcentral